RNAcentral lists this transfer RNA (75 nucleotides) under bacterium TMED277. Its description in RNAcentral is "tRNA-Val". It matches the Rfam family "tRNA". From Rfam's summary of the family: Transfer RNA (tRNA) molecules are approximately 80 nucleotides in length. Their secondary structure includes four short double-helical elements and three loops (D, anti-codon, and T loops). RNAcentral also lists the same sequence under 1 other name. The record is from RNAcentral.
GGGCAUGUAGUUCAGUGGUAGAACGCUACGUUGACAUCGUAGAGGCCAUAAGUUCAAUUCUUAUCAUGCCCACCA